This 496-nucleotide ribosomal RNA is filed under the name uncultured bacterium. Its description in RNAcentral is "partial 16S ribosomal RNA". It matches the Rfam family "Bacterial small subunit ribosomal RNA", at positions 29 to 507 of the family's 1533-position model. The record is from RNAcentral.
AUGAACGCUGGCGGCGUGCCUAAUACAUGCAAGUCGAGCGCACAGACGAGGAGCUUGCUCCUCUGACGUUAGCGGCGGACGGGUGAGUAACACGUGGAUAACCUACCUAUAAGACUGGGAUAACUUCGGGAAACCGGAGAUAAUACCGGAUAAUAUAUUGAACCGCAUGGUUCAAUAGUGAAAGACGGUUUUGCUGUCACUUAUAGAUGGAUCCGCGCCGCAUUAGCUAGUUGGUAAGGUAACGGCUUACCAAGGCAACGAUGCGUAGCCGACCUGAGAGGGUGAUCGGCCACACUGGAACUGAGACACGGUCCAGACUCCUACGGGAGGCAGCAGUAGGGAAUCUUCCGCAAUGGGCGAAAGCCUGACGGAGCAACGCCGCGUGAGUGAUGAAGGUCUUCGGAUCGUAAAACUCUGUUAUUAGGGAAGAACAAAUGUGUAAGUAACUAUGCACGUCUUGACGGUACCUAAUCAGAAAGCCACGGCUAACUACGUG